CGGGAUGUGGCGCAGCUUGGUAGCGCAUCCGCUUUGGGAGCGGAGGGUCGCAGGUUCAAAUCCUGUCAUCCCGACC
RNAcentral lists this transfer RNA (76 nucleotides) under Gordonia bronchialis. Its description in RNAcentral is "tRNA-Pro(tgg)". It matches the Rfam family "tRNA". From Rfam's summary of the family: Transfer RNA (tRNA) molecules are approximately 80 nucleotides in length. Their secondary structure includes four short double-helical elements and three loops (D, anti-codon, and T loops). The record is from RNAcentral. Lineage: Bacteria; Bacillati; Actinomycetota; Actinomycetes; Mycobacteriales; Gordoniaceae. RNAcentral also lists the same sequence under 4 other names.